Molecule: ribosomal RNA, 425 nt
Filed under: uncultured bacterium
Lineage: Bacteria
Description: partial 16S ribosomal RNA
Rfam family: Bacterial small subunit ribosomal RNA
Source: RNAcentral
GUGGGGAAUCUUGCGCAAUGGGCGAAAGCCUGACGCAGCCAUGCCGCGUGAAUGAUGAAGGUCUUAGGAUUGUAAAAUUCUUUCACCGGGGACGAUAAUGACGGUACCCGGAGAAGAAGCUCCGGCUAACUUCGUGCCAGCAGCCGCGGUAAUACGAAGGGGGCUAGCGUUGCUCGGAAUUACUGGGCGUAAAGGGCGCGUAGGCGGACAGCUUAGUCAGAGGUGAAAGCCCAGGGCUCAACCUUGGAAUUGCCUUUGAUACUGGCUGUCUUGAGUUUGGGAGAGGUGAGUGGAACUCCGAGUGUAGAGGUGAAAUUCGUAGAUAUUCGGAAGAACACCAGUGGCGAAGGCGACUCACUGGCCCAAUACUGACGCUGUGGCGCGAAAGCGUGGGGAGCAAACAGGAUUAGAUACCCUUGUAGUCC